RNAcentral lists this transfer RNA (76 nucleotides) under Draconibacterium orientale. RNAcentral's name for it is "tRNA-Lys (TTT) (tRNA-Lys-TTT-1-1)". It matches the Rfam family "tRNA". Rfam says of the family: Transfer RNA (tRNA) molecules are approximately 80 nucleotides in length. Their secondary structure includes four short double-helical elements and three loops (D, anti-codon, and T loops). Further hydrogen bonds mediate the characteristic L-shaped molecular structure. tRNAs have two regions of fundamental functional importance: the anti-codon, which is responsible for specific mRNA codon recognition, and the 3' end, to which the tRNAs corresponding amino acid is attached (by aminoacyl-tRNA synthetases). tRNAs cope with the degeneracy of the genetic code in two manners: having more than one tRNA (with a specific anti-codon) for a particular amino acid; and 'wobble' base-pairing, i.e. permitting non-standard base-pairing at the 3rd anti-codon position. The record is from RNAcentral. RNAcentral also lists the same sequence under 7 other names. Lineage: Bacteria; Pseudomonadati; Bacteroidota; Bacteroidia; Marinilabiliales; Prolixibacteraceae.
GACUCAGUAGCUCAGUUGGUAGAGCACAUCCCUUUUAAGGAUGGGGUCCUGGGUUCGAGCCCCAGCUGAGUCACCA